RNAcentral lists this ribosomal RNA (406 nucleotides) under uncultured bacterium. RNAcentral's name for it is "bacterial SSU rRNA". It matches the Rfam family "Bacterial small subunit ribosomal RNA", at positions 355 to 776 of the family's 1533-position model. The record is from RNAcentral.
UAAGGAAUAUUGUGCAAUGGGCGAAAGCCUGACACAGCAACGCCGCGUGCGGGAAGAAGGUCUUCGGAUCGUAAACCGCUUUUCUAGAGGACGAGAGAGGACGGUACUCUAGGAAUAAGUCUCGGCUAACUACGUGCCAGCAGCCGCGGUAAAACGUAGGAGGCAAGCGUUAUCCGGAUUUACUGGGCGUAAAGCGCGUGCAGGCGGUUUGAGAAGUCGUGCGUGAAAGCUCCCUGGCUUAACCGGGAGAGGUCGUGCGGAACUCUCAGACUAGAGACAAGUAGAGGCAAGUGGAAUUCCGGGUGUAGUGGUGAAAUGCGUAGAGAUCCGGAGGAACACCAGUGGCGAAGGCGGCUUGCUAGGCUUGUUCUGACGCUCAGACGCGACAGCAUGGGGAGCGAACGGG